UCCUGCUUGCUCACUUACCAGAUGUGGGAUCUACUGGCGGUAUGACUGAAGAAGAUUCAGUAGACGGCCGUGUUGUAGUCGUACUAGUAGUAGUGGACGGAGUAUUUGGAGCUAAAGUUGUAGUUGUUGUAGGAGUGUCUGGAGCUACAGGAGUAGUUGUUGAAGGAGGAGUAUCUGGAGGUGGGCUAGAAGGAGUACGUGGAGCUGUAGUAGAAGUUGUGGAGGGAGUAUCUGGGGCUGCAGGAGUAGUUGUUGUAGAAGGAGUGUCUGGAGCUACAGGAGUAGUUGUUGGAGGGGGAGUAUCUGGAGGUGGACUAGAAGGUGCUGUAGAAGGAGCAUCUGGAGCUGGACUUGAAGUUGUUGCAGGAGGAGUAUCUGGAGCUACAGGAGAAGUUGCAGUAGAAGGAGUGUCUGGAGCUGGAGUAGAAGCAUCUGUUGGUACCAAAGGCCUACGAACGUGAAACGCAUUAAACCCACUGCUCCUUAUAGAAGAGAAUGAAGUCGACAUACGGUUCAGUAGGGUCAUCCCAGCCCUUCCCAGUGCAUCCUGCACUGGCAGCAUAAUCGCAAACAUCACUAGACGGA
Dendroctonus ponderosae (mountain pine beetle) is the source of this 585-nucleotide long non-coding RNA. RefSeq lists it as uncharacterized. The transcript is spliced from 3 exons. The record is from RefSeq and is a predicted model, not a curated record. NCBI's taxonomy places the organism in Eukaryota, Metazoa, Arthropoda, Insecta, Coleoptera, Curculionidae.